This 253-nucleotide ribosomal RNA is filed under the name uncultured bacterium. RNAcentral describes it as "partial 16S ribosomal RNA". It matches the Rfam family "Bacterial small subunit ribosomal RNA", at positions 524 to 776 of the family's 1533-position model. The record is from RNAcentral.
GACGUAGGGCGCGAGCGUUGUCCGGAUUGAUUGGGCGUAAAGAGCUCGUAGGCGGCUCGUUGCGUCGGCUGUGAAAACCCGCAGCUCAACUGUGGGCCUGCAGCUGAUACGGGCGGGCUGGAGUUCGGUAGGGGAGACUGGAAUUCCUGGUGCAGCGGUGAAAUGCGCAGAUAUCAGGAGGAACACCGGUGGCGAAGGCGGGUCUCUGGGCCGAUACUGACGCUGAGGAGCGAAAGCGUGGGGAGCGAACAGG